UUAAACCAAGUUCGUAAACCCACAAAAUCAGACCAUUUCAGCUAGUUACAGAGAUUUGAAAUGAUUCAAAGACUAGCUAAUAGAGAUGAUCAAGAACCCUAGACUAUGCAGGAUUUGAGGUACUUCUUUCAGGGAAAUGUGAGGAAUUUGAGUGUUAAUGCAGAAUUUUUCCAAGCCUUCAAGUUGUUUCUGUUUUUUUCCAG
RNAcentral lists this long non-coding RNA (203 nucleotides) under Nicotiana benthamiana. RNAcentral's name for it is "long non-coding RNA (NBEN_LNC010231)". Lineage: Eukaryota; Viridiplantae; Streptophyta; Magnoliopsida; Solanales; Solanaceae. The record is from RNAcentral.